UGGGGAAUUUUGGACAAUGGGCGCAAGCCUGAUCCAGCCAUGCCGCGUGCGGGAAGAAGGCCUUCGGGUUGUAAACCGCUUUUGUCAGGGAAGAAAUCUUCUGAGUUAAUACCUCGGGAGGAUGACGGUACCUGAAGAAUAAGCACCGGCUAACUACGUGCCAGCAGCCGCGGUAAUACGUAGGGUGCAAGCGUUAAUCGGAAUUACUGGGCGUAAAGCGUGCGCAGGCGGUUUUGUAAGACAGAGGUGAAAUCCCCGGGCUCAACCUGGGAACUGCCUUUGUGACUGCAAGGCUUGAGUGCGGCAGAGGGGGAUGGAAUUCCGCGUGUAGCAGUGAAAUGCGUAGAUAUGCGGAGGAACACCGAUGGCGAAGGCAAUCCCCUGGGCCUGCACUGACGCUCAUGCACGAAAGCGUGGGGAGCAAACAGGAUUAGAUACCCUGGUAGUCCACGCCCUAAACGAUGUCAACUGGUUGUUGGGAAGGUUCCUUCUCAGUAACGUAGCUAACGCGUGAAGUUGACCGCCUGGGGAGUACGGCCGCAAGGUUGAAACUUAAAGGAAUUGACGGGGUCAUAGCUGUUUUCCUG
RNAcentral lists this ribosomal RNA (587 nucleotides) under uncultured bacterium. RNAcentral describes it as "partial 16S ribosomal RNA". It matches the Rfam family "Bacterial small subunit ribosomal RNA", at positions 355 to 1383 of the family's 1533-position model. The record is from RNAcentral.